AGAGUUUGAUCCUGGCUCAGAUUGAACGCUGGCGGCAUGCCUUACACAUGCAAGUCGAACGCGAAAGCGGGGGCAACCCUGCAAGUAGAGUGGCGAACGGGUGAGUAACACAUCGGAACGUACCCAGGAGUGGGGGACAACCUCGAGAAAUCGAGGCUAAUACCGCAUACGCCCCGAGGGGGAAAGUGGGGGACUUCGCAAGGAGCCUCACGCUAGUGGAGCGGCCGAUGCCCGAUUAGCUAGUUGGCGGGGUAAGAGCCCACCAAGGCGACGAUCGGUAGCUGGUCUGAGAGGAUGAUCAGCCACACUGGGACUGAGACACGGCCCAGACUCCUACGGGAGGCAGCAGUGGGGAAUUUUGGACAAUGGGGGCAACCCUGAUCCAGCCAUGCCGCGUGAGUGAAGAAGGCCUUCGGGUUGUAAAGCUCUUUCGGCCGGAACGAAAUCGCAUCUCCUAACACGGGGUGUGGAUGACGGUACCGGAAGAAGAAGCACCGGCUAACUACGUGCCAGCAGCCGCGGUAAUACGUAGGGUGCGAGCGUUAAUCGGAAUUACUGGGCGUAAAGCGUGCGCAGGCGGUUCGUUAAGACAGGUGUGAAAUCCCCGGGCUCAACCUGGGAAUGGCGCUUGUGACUGGCGGGCUGGAGUACGGCAGAGGGAGGUGGAAUUCCACGUGUAGCAGUGAAAUGCGUAGAGAUGUGGAGGAACACCGAUGGCGAAGGCAGCCUCCUGGGCCAGUACUGACGCUCAUGCACGAAAGCGUGGGGGAGCAAACAGGAUUAGAUACCCUGGUAGUCCA
RNAcentral lists this ribosomal RNA (800 nucleotides) under uncultured bacterium. RNAcentral describes it as "bacterial SSU rRNA". It matches the Rfam family "Bacterial small subunit ribosomal RNA", at positions 8 to 797 of the family's 1533-position model. The record is from RNAcentral.